AGAAUGAACGCUGGCGGCGUGCUUUACACAUGCAAGUCGAGCGAGGCGUGUAGCAAUACACAGCCCUAGCGGCGAACGGGUGAGUAACGCGUGGAUGACCUGCCCUUCAGCGGGGAAUAACCCGGGGAAACUCGGGCUAAUACCGCAUACGACCGAGAGGUGAAAGGGGGCCGCAAGGCUCUCACUGGAAGGAGGGGUCCGCGUUCGAUUAGCUAGGUUGGUAGGGUAAUGGCCUACCAAGGCGACGAUCGAUAC
RNAcentral lists this ribosomal RNA (255 nucleotides) under uncultured soil bacterium. RNAcentral's name for it is "partial 16S ribosomal RNA". It matches the Rfam family "Bacterial small subunit ribosomal RNA", at positions 26 to 286 of the family's 1533-position model. The record is from RNAcentral.